This 1531-nucleotide long non-coding RNA is filed under the name Bos taurus (domestic cattle). RNAcentral's name for it is "long non-coding RNA NONBTAT000215". Lineage: Eukaryota; Metazoa; Chordata; Mammalia; Artiodactyla; Bovidae. The record is from RNAcentral.
UUCUUGACAUAGGAUAUAUGGGCUCAAGUAGUCAAGGACAGUUUACAGAGUAACUGAGAGGAGACAUGCAAAGCUGCUCUGAAAGACCAUCAGGUCUGAACUCAUGGAAGUGAUAACACUAAACAGUGCAAUGAACAAUUUCUUUAUUUAUGUACUAUUAAAAGAACUGUAAAUGCAAUGUAAAGACACAGCCACACAUAUCCCACAGAUAUUCUACUUGUGUUCUUCUCUUAAGUACACCACCCACCUUAACUCUUUCUUGUCAGGAGUAUAUAAAAAAGAAAGAAAACAAAGCUCGCCCUCCAGGAAGAAAAGGAUUUUCCUCUGUAUAUAAUUUCUUUUGUGCAUUGCUAUGCAAGCUCACUCGUUUUAGCUCUGUUCAUAUUAUUGUCUGUUCUUAUUGGUCUGUUGUACUAUAUGUGAAUUAAUAGGCUGUGGUGCCAUAUAUUAACUUUUAAUUGUGUAACUUUUAUGUUUAAAUUUUGCACUGCAAUUUUAUUUGGUGAUAAGCACAAAUCUCUACUCCUCGUGACAUGAAGAAAAAGACUGAAUGUGAAGGGAGUUUCUGUACUGUAAGCUAGGUUGGAUAAUGCUGGUUGUAACCAAUGACGUUAGGGGGGUUUCAGUUGGGGUGUAGAAAUAGGAAGAUGCAAAGUAACAGUGAUGUUGGCUAAGUCUUCUUUGAACAUCAGGGACUGAGUCAAUAAUAAAAAAAAAAAGAAAAGCAGUUACGUGGCUUUUACUAUUGAUAAGAACAGGGGUCAAAAGAAGGAAGCUGAAGUCCUAAAACUGAAUAGGCAUUAAAAUAUACAGGUAGCAAUGAUGUACUUAACUUGCUUUUUAAAAAAAGGAAAUUAAAGUUAUGUUUAGAAACAACUUUACCUGUCAUUGUAAUUGACCUGUCUCAGAAUUACAACAAGCAAAAUGAAAUUAGUGUGUUUCACAAGAGCUGUAUUUGUAUUACAGUUUUUUAAAAAAGCAUUGUCUGAAUUACCAUAACUAAUCUCUCCAACUCAUUAAGUCAGAAUAUAAUAUGAAGUUCCCCAAGGAAACAAAAUGAACUCUAGAAUAUCUAGCAAAUAGUUAAAGAGGCAGUUUAUUAUUAGGACAUAUUUGGGCUGCUUCCAAAUACAAAAACUCUUAUUGCAAUAUCUUGUUUCAUCUUUCUAAUACAUGUACAGUACAUGCUAGAGGAUAGAGCUGCAUCACUUAAAUUCAUGACUUUUUAAAAAUAAUGCAGUCUAUUUGCAACUUUGUGUUUCAUUUGAUUAAGAAGUGAAGUUUAUGCCACCAAAUGUAUAGCCAAAUUGUAAGUGCUUAAAAAGCAGUGUUCAGAGUAUGUUCAGUUCACAGUAAGUAGAUUUAUUGGAAUAAAUCUUUUAUGGUUCAUUCUCAGAAAUUGGCUACCAACUAAAAAAUCUUUGACCCAUUUUGAAUGAGUAAGUCGAAAAGAAUAAUUUUAAAGAAGAACAAUGCAUGUUUAUACACUUUUUAAAUAAAACCAAACCUCAUAAGUGGACAUUAAUAACAG